AUGAAACAGGCAAAUACUCGAUCUGGUAUCUUCUCAGUCCGGAGUGCAUAUAGGUUGGCGGUCUCAAUCCAGAACCAAACUAGUCACUCAACCUCCAGUUCCACAAAUGAGGCGGAGGACCAUAGCAUCUGGGAUGUUGUUUGGAAAGCUAAUAUCCCUGAGAAAAUUAAAAUUUUCGGUUGGAGAGUUGCCACAAGAACUUGCAAACUUCAGUGA
Molecule: ribosomal RNA, 216 nt
Filed under: Triticum aestivum (bread wheat)
Lineage: Eukaryota; Viridiplantae; Streptophyta; Magnoliopsida; Poales; Poaceae
Description: partial small subunit ribosomal RNA
Source: RNAcentral